This 208-nucleotide long non-coding RNA is filed under the name Elaeis guineensis (African oil palm). RNAcentral's name for it is "long non-coding RNA (EGUI_LNC028440)". Lineage: Eukaryota; Viridiplantae; Streptophyta; Magnoliopsida; Arecales; Arecaceae. The record is from RNAcentral.
ACACUACUGUGACCACAUACUCUCAGACUUAGCCUCUCAAAUCUCAUAGAACUAUUUCUCUCUAUCAAGAUCGAUAGAUUCUAUCUAGAUGUAUAUCCUACUCCUAUAGUAGCUCAACUGUCGUCAAUAUCCACUAUAAAGAGCCAUUGAGAUCAUGUUUAUGUGUCAAUCAAACUCCAGCAGCCUCAUGCAAGCAGUCGCACCAUCA